Molecule: unclassified non-coding RNA, 418 nt
Filed under: uncultured Inocybe
Lineage: Eukaryota; Fungi; Basidiomycota; Agaricomycetes; Agaricales; Cortinariaceae
Description: sequence contains ITS2
Rfam family: 5.8S ribosomal RNA (bases 1-154)
Source: RNAcentral
AACUUUUGGCAACGGAUCACUUGGCUCUCGCAUCGAUGAAGAACGCAGCGAAAUGCAAUAAGUAAUGUGAAUUGCAGAAUUCAGUGAAUCAUCGAAUCUUUGAACGCAUCUUGCGCUCCUUGGUAUUCCGAGGAGCAUGCCUGUUUGAGUGUCAUUCAACUUCUCAACCACAUUCGUUCAUUGAUUGUGGCUUGGAUGGUGGGGGUUUAUUUGCAGGCUUCUUCUGUGAAAACAGAAAGGUCGGCUCCCCUGAAAUGUAUCAGUGGUAUCUGAGGCUAUUGCUAUAGGUGUGAUAAUUAUCUAUGCCCUUGGUAUGCCGCAUGGAACUGCUUCCAACAGAGAUGAUCUUUUUGAUGAAUUUGACCUCAAAUCAGGUAGGACUACCCGCUGAACUUAAGCAUAUCAAUAAGCGGAGGCU